RNAcentral lists this ribosomal RNA (252 nucleotides) under uncultured bacterium. Its description in RNAcentral is "partial 16S ribosomal RNA". It matches the Rfam family "Bacterial small subunit ribosomal RNA", at positions 524 to 776 of the family's 1533-position model. The record is from RNAcentral.
UACGUAGGUGACAAGCGUUAUCCGGAAUUAUUGGGCGUAAAGGGUGCGUAGGCGGUCGAUUAAGUCUGAAGUAAAAGCCAGUGGCUCAACCACUGUUCGCUUCAGAAACUGGUCGACUAGAGUACAGAAGAGGCAAGUGGAAUUCCAUGUGUAGCGGUAAAAUGCGUAGAUAUAUGGAGGAACACCAGUGGCGAAGGCGGCUUGCUGGUCUGUAACUGACGCUGAGGCACGAAAGCGUGGGGAGCAAAUAGG